UGGUGAUAACUAUGACUUCUAUUUGUUAAUCUGCAGUCCUCUUCAAGAAAUUUGCUAGUACUAAUUUUCUUCAAAUUAUGAAAAGCUGCAUGUUACAAAAGAGAAUCCAUCUAUUUUCUUAGCGUACAUAAGAAUUUCAGACACAGGUAAGAUACUAAACCAUUCAUGAACAAAAAUGGCAUUUUUUUUCUCAUCAAGAC
Molecule: long non-coding RNA, 200 nt
Filed under: Fukomys damarensis (Damara mole-rat)
Lineage: Eukaryota; Metazoa; Chordata; Mammalia; Rodentia; Bathyergidae
Description: lncRNA (ENSFDAG00000022716.1)
Source: RNAcentral